AGAGGUCACGCACAGAGCUGACCCGGAAAAAGAUUUGAACCACGUUGUUUUGUUUUUGUCAGCGCCAGCUAGCCAACAUUUCGCUUUGAAUCCCCUAACUAAUCAUUCUUCAGCCAUUGGGAAGUAAUUUGCUAAUUGUAAGUGCAUGAAAUAUUUUCCAUCCCGCAUCGAAGUUAAAUAUAUAAAAAAGUGGGUGGCUAAAUAUUUGUUCAAGCCUAGCCUUCCUCACAAACUGAAGUCAACAGAUUAUUUCGGAUUGAAAUCUCAGUUAAGCAAUGUCCAGUGUAUGGUCAAGUGUUUGUUUGUGUGGGGCAGAGAGUAUGGGAAGAAAUCUACAGUAGCUAGUUUAGCUAGCUAACAGUUGGUUGCAGAUGUUCCAGAUACAUUUGAUUUCCAUUGUUCCAUUUAUGCCUUUACAUAGGACUUUUUAUUCGUCUCUCAUUAUUUCCCCACUGAAAGAUAUUGUAGCGAACGGAGGCAAACUCGGGUCGCAGGAGUAAAAGGCAAACACCCAACGCAUCGCUCCAUUUAAACUGGGUUAACCCACUUGUUGGGAAUAAUAUUGUAUAUUAUAAACUGGGUGGUUCGAGCCCUGAAUUCUAAUUGCCUGACAGCCGUAGUAUAUCAGAACGUAUACCACGGGUAUGACAAAACACUUAUUUUUACUGCUCGAAUUACGUUGGUAAACAGUUUUAUAAUAGCAAUAAGGCACCGCUGGGGUUUGUGAUAUAUGGCCAAUAUACCACGGCUAAGGGCUGUGUCCAGGUACUCCGUUUUGCGUGUUGCAUAAGAACAGCCCAUGGCCGUGGUAUAUUGACCAUAUACGACACCCCUUCGGGCCUUAUUGCUAAAAUAUAAUUAACUAAAAUUGCUACACUGCCUCCUCCGAACGCGAACGAAUGUCCCGUGCUUCGACCAUAUAUUUUGUCUUGUGUAAAAUCACAGCUCUAAUGUAUCAUAUAACAGAUAUAACCAUUGUCUGGCUUUUGUGUUGUUAAAACCUUUCUCAUGGACUGUUGAUGGGAGAUGAUCGUGUGAAGAAUGGUCUCAACUUCAUGUAUGAAGCUCCAUCUGGGCCAGACAAAGGAAGGAGAAUCAGAAUACAAGUUUGAGUGGCAAAAGACGUCCCCUCGAGAAGUGCGCAAUGUGAGAUGCAUCAUGUGUCACAAAUAGGGCCAUGUGAACAGUGGCCUGUCUGGGAUCAAUGCCAGCGCUGCGCCCACAGGGAAAGCAGGUACAAAUAACAAUCUGACCUACCUGGAUGAAUAGAGGAAAAAAGUCGAAUGGUCCGUCGAUGCACCCCUCCGAGUUAAUGGCAGAGAUGUGAAACAGUGGGUUUGCCCUGAAGAAAUGUGUCCUUGGAAGAAAUUCUACUGUUUGUGAUCCAUCGCAGGAGUAUGUUGUCAAUGAAGAAGAGGAGGAUCCUGAGGUUGAAUUCCUGAAGUCGUUGACCACUAAACAGAAAGAGAAGCUCCUCAGAUAGGAGAGCACUACCAUUCAUACGUUUAGUUGUUUUGAAUAUAAUAUGCUUAUUGUAAAAUAAGACAAAAGAUGAUUCUUGCAAAAAAAUAAACAUGAACUACGAAUAUAACAAAUUGUUUUCAUUUUAAAGGAAACUUGACCGUCUACAAAAGAAGAGUGAAGGGAAUCAGAAGAAGAACUGUGAUAGUAGUGACAGCUCUAGUGAAAGUAGCAGCAGUGACUCAGACUGACAGCUCUAGUGAAAGUAGCAGCAGUGACUCAGACUGACAGCUCUAGUGAAAGUAGCAGCAGUGACUGACUGACAGCUCUAGUGAAAGUAGCAGCAGUGACUGACUGACAGCUUCAGUGAAAGUAGCAGCAGUGACUGACUGACAGCUCCAGUGAAAGUAGCAGCAGCAGUGACUGACUGACAGCUCCAGUGAAAGUAGCAGCAGUGACUGACUGACAGCUCCAGUGAAAGUAGCAGCAGCAGUGACUGACUGACAGCUCUAGUGAAAGCAGCAGCAGUGACUGACUGACAGCUCCAGUGAAAGUAGCAGCAGCAGUGACUAAGAGUCAGAAGAGAAAGAAGAAGGGCAAGAGAAAGGACUCCUGUCGUGAUGACAACACUGAGAGUGAUGGAUGAGUCAAGAGUAAGACCAGGCCCAACCUCCAGACAGAAACAGCACAAAGAUGAUACCAGAGAGAAGAAGGAAACAGUAGAGAUGAGACACGACAGCAGGGAGAGGCAGAGAACCAGCAGCAGCUCUCAGCCUGGCCCAGACAGAAGCAGAAGGAGAGAGAUAUAAAGACAAGGUUCACAGUAGAGAUGAGGCAAACGGUAGAAGAGAGAUGGAUAGAAGUAGUAGCAGAGAUGGAGCAAAGAAUAAAGCAGCCGCAAAGCGAGGAGUAGGAUCCUCUAUGGAGGGAGGGAGAGAGAGGGGAGGCAAAGGGAGGAGUAGGAUCCUAGAUGGAGGGAGGGGAGGCAAAGGGAGGAGUAGGAUCCUCUAUGGAGGGAGGGAGAGAGAGGGGAGGCAAAGGGAGGAGUAGGAUCCUAGAUGGAGGGAGGGGGAGAGAGGGGAGGCAAAGGGAGGAGUAGGAUCCUAGAUGGAGGGAGGGGAGAGAGGGGAGGCAAAGGGAGGAGUAGGAUCCUAGAUGGGGAGAGAGUGGAGGCAAAGGCAGGAGCAGAGGGAGGGAGAAUGAGAAAAGAGCCAGAGGGAGAUCUGAGAAAAAGCACUGAACUGUGAGAGUAGACAAUCUUACAAAGUGGGCCAGUGAUACCAUUUUAUUUUGCUGAUGUAAACAUUUUUGACACGAAAGUGUAAUGUUUUGAAGGUUUUAUGAUGCUAUUGUUAAUAUGUACAUUUUUCUUGGUGGGCCCACUUAUUAAACAAACACAUAGAAACCAAAGUUUUAGUAACACCAUGUUUUGGUGUUGCUUGCUAGUUGGCUGCCACGGUAAAGUGAGUGCAGGGGCGUAUUCAUUAUGCCGAUUCUGUUGCAAAAUGUUGAGCAGAAGCAAACGGAAUGAAACGGGAAGGGGCCUAGCUGAAUUUGACCAAUAGAAGUUGUUUAAAAUGUUCCAUUUUGCUACUGUUAGGACUAGUGAUUACACCCCUGCUCCUCAAAUAGUUCUUAUUUUCAUCCACUAGAGGGCAGCAGUAGAUCUAAAAUAACUUGAACCACAGAAAUAUUUUGCAUUUCUCAGAUUAUUGAACAAAUGAAUGUCUUGCAUGCACUAUUAUUCAUGGUUGUCACUUUAGUCCAGAGAACCCUCUUUACAAUACUAUAAAAAAAUAUUAUUGCAACUCGAACUUUAAAAAUAGUAAACUGCUCACAUGGUUGUGACCGUUCUUCAUUACAUGUGUUACAAGUCUAGCUUAAUUAUGUAGGCUUGUUUCAAAGUGGUCUUCUGGAAGUGGCCUAAGCGGGAGCAUGGUUGACUAAUGACAAUCAAUCUAUGAUUGUUCAUUAUGCCAUGCAUACGAUUAGGUCUGCGUAAGUGAUUAGUGUGGAGACAUCAAGUUUGUUUCAAAUAUUUAAUAAUGAAUACUUAAUUCUGAAUCGAGAUCAAUGCAUGGAACUGUACUCUUUCUGCAAAACCCAGUGCAUGAUUUACGCAACAUUGCGCGCCUAUCGGCCUUUAGAGAUUACUUGUUGCAUUACUUGCAUGACAUUAUCAUCAUGAUGGACAAAACAGAAGAAACGAUGAGGUCAUCGGGGUUCAUUUGACAUAUUGAACUGUGUAACAUACGACUUCCUAUUUGUUUAGGAGCCAUAUAUUUUGUUGCAAAGAAAAUAUAUCAUAUAUGUCGAUAUGAUUUGUUAUUAAGAAUUCCUGAUCAGGAAAAUUAAAAUAGAGAAUUUCUUUCAUGUUUUAUUUUAUUUCAGUCGCUUCAGAUUUGUAUGUUCUGUAUAGACAGACCAUUUAACCUUUUGCAAUGAUGCAGCGAGGUGUGCACCUAAAUACUGUAGACCUAUGCCAAUUGUUUUGAUUCAUUGUUAUUUUAUCAUUAUCACAAUACAAGUAUUUUUUGUGACCUUC
Salvelinus fontinalis (brook trout) is the source of this 4006-nucleotide long non-coding RNA. RefSeq lists it as uncharacterized. The transcript is spliced from 5 exons. The record is from RefSeq and is a predicted model, not a curated record. NCBI's taxonomy places the organism in Eukaryota, Metazoa, Chordata, Actinopteri, Salmoniformes, Salmonidae.